Molecule: long non-coding RNA, 340 nt
Organism: Mauremys reevesii (Reeves's turtle)
Lineage: Eukaryota; Metazoa; Chordata; Testudines; Geoemydidae
Exons: 4
Source: RefSeq, a predicted model, not a curated record
GAGCGGGAGAGCUGCCGCCUCCAGGUGUGUGACUGAGGUCAGGGCCCUUAUCGUACUGAGAGUGGCUCAGGCCUUGCCUGAGAUCAGGUCCCCCAGUGUGCUGGGCGCUGCACAAACCCUGACUGAGUUUGGGGGCACUCGUUGUGCCAGGCCCUGCAUCAACACCAGGGUUUCCAAUUUCCAAACUAGAUGUGAUCUCGCUGCUGGACCGAGGGGAAGAGCCGUGGGUCCCGGACCUCCAGGGCUCUGAGAAAGAAGUGCUCCCAAGAGCUGCCUGCACAGGUGUUGGGAUGGUGAGUGAGAAUGAGGAGGAGAAACCCCAACAGGAAAAUGCUCAGCA